GCUGCGCUGAAUAUGGAUAUGGUGAGUGAAUCUAGAGCAGCCAUUUGGAGGUAUGAAGAGAUCUUGGAAAUAGAGGCCAUGUGUGUUGAAACAAGACCGAACAACUCCAAGUUCCUGAAGACUUCAUUUCACCAACCCAGAACCUCCUUGAUCAUCACAGCCUUUGCAUGGAUGAUUGUCUGUCCUCUGUUGGGCCCCUUCUGAAGAGUUGGAGUUGGCUUUAUACAAUUAUUCCCAAAUCUUCUAAACUGACAGUGAGGGAGAGUAAUUUGAAAGGACUGCUCAACUCAACGUCAUUUGAAGAUUUGCACCACAGCUGCAUUUUUCCAAUUUCCUGGCAUCUAUUCUGCUCUCCUGGACUUUUCAAAAACAAUUUCUUUCAGAUCCCUGGAGGCCUCUCCCAGGGCCUGUGGUGUGGAGAGUUGGACUUGACCCUACUGUAAGAGACCCAACUUCCAAAGACUGCAUCAGAUGAAAGGCUCUCCAUAUAGACUACAGACUUGUCAGCUGGUUAAGGAGGCAAACAGAACAGUCUGCUACAAACUCCAGUCCAUGUAUCUGUGCUGAAAAUAAAAGGAGUCUUCAGGAAUCAAAGAAGAAAAUAUUUUUAUAAAGAAAUUUUAUUGCAUAAUUCUUGUAUACAAUAAACAUAGGAAAAGGGUUUUUAAUGAAAAUUCAUGUCAUUUUUCA
Molecule: long non-coding RNA, 690 nt
Filed under: Homo sapiens (human)
Lineage: Eukaryota; Metazoa; Chordata; Mammalia; Primates; Hominidae
Description: MSRB3 antisense RNA 1
Source: RNAcentral